This 689-nucleotide long non-coding RNA is filed under the name Aotus nancymaae (Ma's night monkey). RNAcentral's name for it is "lncRNA (ENSANAG00000038589.1)". The record is from RNAcentral. Lineage: Eukaryota; Metazoa; Chordata; Mammalia; Primates; Aotidae.
UCUAGUUCAGUAGUUGUCCUUUCUCUAGCAUUGCUCACAUGUAUUUUUUUUGUUUUUUUUUUAAUUUUCAGGAAGGUAGGGGCCUUGGGACUCCAUGGAAAGCAGAAGACACAAUGAUCUGCCGUUUCACUCCCUGUCUCUGAGUCUACACCCUCAGGGAACUGCAUGAGAGAGGAAAAGCUGAGGUCAGAAUUAUUUUAUGAGAAGACUUCUUCCGUGGUGAAAGAAAUCUCCAGACUCAGGCGGGAAUCCUUAAAGGAUGAAAUCCUCCAAUAAGAAGAAGCUUUCCUCAAUGGACAAAGGUACAACAAAGGAAUUUAAGGACUGGGAAAUUUAAAGUCCAUUUAUUAACACUUGCUGCCUGCCAAGCCUUUUGAUUCAUCUGAGCUGCAAGUUAUUCUGUUUAGUUUCAUCUUAAAAAUCAGAACGUGUGCUCCAGUCCUAGAAUAGAUUUACACUUCCAAACAGUCUCGUUAUAAAAUCCUUGAACUUCUCAGUCACGGCAUCAGUCUUUCUGAUAUCAUCUUACUUGAAUUCUUCACUCUCUCCUAUUGUUCAGUAAGUACACUUAGGAAAAGAGUUUUUUAACCUUUAGAAUCCACAAAAACAGAAAUUCAAAAUUACAGCUUUUGUAUAUGUGGUAAAGGUACUUAAAUAUUAUUUAGUUUACCCAGAAACAAAUACAGAUU